UUCAGAAGGUUAGCAUUAGCACGGCUAACUGGCUACAUAUUGAGGUUAGCCGACGCUGCAGUUACCGGUUCAUUCAGAAGGUUAGCAUUAGCACGGCUAACUGGCUACAUAUUGAGGUUAGCCGACGCUGCAGUUACCGGUUCAUUCAGAAGGUUAGCAUUAGCACGGCUAACUGGCUACAUAUUGAGGUUAGCCGACGCUGACCGGUUCAUUCAGAAGUUUAGCAUUAGCACGGCUAACUGGCUACAUAUUGAGGUUAGCCGACGCUGCAGUUACCGGUUCAUUCAGAAGGUUAGCAUUAGCACGGCUAACUGGCUACAUAUUGAGGUUAGCCGACGCUGACCGGUUCAUUCAGAAGUUUAGCAUUAGCACGGCUAACUGGCUACAUAUUGAGGUUAGCCGACGCUGACCGGUUCAUUCAGAAGGUUAGCAUUAGCAUAUAUAUAAUAUUGCUAGAAAUAGUGAUGGAACAGAUUUUUAGAAAAAUGAAUCGUAAAGAAUUGCUUGGUGAGUUACUGGUUGGUAACUGUCCAGUGUGUAACCUGUAUAGUGUAAUAUAUAUAUAUAGUAUGUUGUCUC
Oncorhynchus keta (chum salmon) is the source of this 579-nucleotide long non-coding RNA. RefSeq lists it as uncharacterized. The record is from RefSeq and is a predicted model, not a curated record. The transcript has 3 exons. NCBI's taxonomy places the organism in Eukaryota, Metazoa, Chordata, Actinopteri, Salmoniformes, Salmonidae.